AAGGGAGACCUAAUUCGGGUAUAAGACGAAAAAAGAGUAGUCGAAACCAAGAAUCAAUCCCAAAAGGUCGGAGCGAGGCGAAAUUGGCUUUCAAACUAGGUUCUGGGUUCACACAAGACCUGAAUCAGGAACAAGGGCUAUUAGCUCAGGUGGUUAGAGCGCACCCCUGAUAAGGGUGAGGUCCCUGGUUCGAGUCCAGGAUGGCCCACCUGUACAGGUGGCCAAAACCAAGAAAAGAAGCGAGGAAUCAGCACCUGCUCUUACCUACAUAGUAAGAGAGAAUGCUGGCUCUGAGUACAGAGUCCAGAGGAACCUUGAAAACUGCAUAGAGCUAGGUGAAAAAGCCAAAAAAGAAGACCGCAA
RNAcentral lists this transfer RNA (363 nucleotides) under uncultured Microcystis sp. Its description in RNAcentral is "partial 16S-23S ribosomal RNA intergenic spacer". The stretch from base 135 to 208 matches the Rfam family "tRNA". Lineage: Bacteria; Bacillati; Cyanobacteriota; Cyanophyceae; Chroococcales; Microcystaceae. The record is from RNAcentral.